GGCGAACGCUGGCGGCGUGCUUAACACGUGCAAGUCGAACGGAAAGGCCCUUCGGGGUACUCGAGUGGCGAACGGGUGAGUAACACGUGGGUGAUCUGCCCUGCACUUUGGGAUAAGCCUGGGAAACUGGGUCAAUUACGAAUAGGGACACGGCGCUUCGGGGGUGUGGGGGGAAGGCUUUGCGGGGGGGGAUGGGCCCGCGGCCUAUCAGCUUGUUUGUGGGGUAAUGGCCUACCAAGGCGACGACGGGUAGCCGGCCUGAGGGGGUGACCGGCCACACUGGGACUGAGAUACGGCCCAGACUCCUACGGGAGGCAGCAGUGGGGAAUAUUGCACAAUGGGCGCAAGCCUGAUGCAGCGACGCCGCGUGAGGGAUGACGGCCUUCGGGUUGUAAACCUCUUUCAAUAGGGACGAAGCGCAAGUGACGGUACCUAUAGAAGAAGCACCGGCCAACUACGUG
RNAcentral lists this ribosomal RNA (461 nucleotides) under uncultured bacterium. RNAcentral describes it as "partial 16S ribosomal RNA". It matches the Rfam family "Bacterial small subunit ribosomal RNA", at positions 28 to 507 of the family's 1533-position model. The record is from RNAcentral.